AACUGUCAGUGUUGUGCAGUCAGUGCUCAGUAGUGUCAACAACAAGAGAAAAAAGUUGUUUUCAGAAGAAUUCUUAAACUGGACUGCUGAUUAAACUGGAAAACUAUUUCUAGCAACAUCUAGCAAAUUCUUUGAAUCAUGACAGCAGAAGAAACCCUUCGGAGGCCGAGUAUACCUGCCAAGUCGUCAAAGAAUCUGGACCAUUUGUCAAAUUUCAGCUAGAGUGGCACUUGCCAAAGCACAGUACAAAUCGCAUGCAUGAUAUACUCAACAAGCCAGGAGCUAUCAACACCCUUCACCUGACAAUCCCAAAGUUACAGGAGUCUGAUAGUGGAAAGUACCGUUGUGUUGCCAGAGGUCUAUUACUACCAUCAAAAUUUUUAAAAUGAUUUCAUCCGUUUCCAAAAAUACUCUUCAUCUUUCAUCAGCACAGAGACUUUGGUUACCGAGACUUUUUGUUGGGAAAUCAUUUGUUAGAUUUUUGGGUGGACCAUCUAUUAUUCAAAAACCUAUUGCUCAGCCAAUUAAUUUGGCAAAUGAACCUAUUUUAGGUUAUUUGAAAAGCAGCGAAGAAAGAGUUGCCUUGGAAAAUGCAUUACAACAUAGGCAAUCUGCUGUUGAAGAAAUUCCAAUUGUUAUUGAUGGCAAAGAAUAUUGGACUGAUGAUGUUCAUUUAUCAGACAAUGAAAAAGAUCGCGAUAUUCUGCUAUGGUUCUCCCGUAUUUUACUUUUUUUUUAAAAGG
Molecule: unclassified non-coding RNA, 743 nt
Filed under: Daphnia pulicaria
Lineage: Eukaryota; Metazoa; Arthropoda; Branchiopoda; Diplostraca; Daphniidae
Description: uncharacterized LOC124335991, transcript variant X2
Source: RNAcentral